Pelobates cultripes (western spadefoot toad) is the source of this 657-nucleotide non-coding RNA. NCBI's taxonomy places the organism in Eukaryota, Metazoa, Chordata, Amphibia, Anura, Pelobatidae. The record is from the annotation of a GenBank genome assembly.
CCAUGUUUUAAUCCCAUUCCAUAAUCUCACUCUGUAAUACAAUUUAAUAAUGCCAUGUUUUAAUCCCAUUCCAUAAUCUCACUCUGUAAUCCCAUGUUGUAACUCCAUGUUUCAAUCCCAUGAUAAAAUCACUCUGUAAUCCCAUGUUAUAACUACAUGUUAUAACUCAAUGUUUUAAUCCCGUGAUAAAAUCAGUCUGUAAUCCCAUGUUAUAACUCAAUGUUAUAAUUCAAUGAUAACAUCUCUCUGUAAUCCCAUGUUAUAACUCAAUGUUUUAAUCCCAUGAUAAAAGCACUCUGUAAUCCCAUGUUAUAACUACAUGUUAUAACUCAAUGUUUUAAUCCCGUGAUAAAAUCAGUCUGUAAUCCCAUGUUAUAACUCAAUGUUAUAAUUCAAUGAUAACAUCUCUCUGUAAUCCCAUGUUAUAACUCAAUGUUUUAAUCCCAUGAUAAAAGCACUCUGUAAUCCCAUGUUAUAACUCCAUGUUAUAACUCAAUGUUUUAAUCCCAUGGUAAAAUCACUCUGUAAUCCCAUGUUAUAACUCCAUGUUCUGUAAUAUUAUGAUAUAAUCCAAUUCUAGUAUCAUUUAAUUCUGCAGUAUUAUGUUCGGUAUGUACAGAACAAUACAGAGUAACAGUGUGCAGUUACAAGCAGUAC